UUUGUAUAAUGGGUCAGCGACUUAUAUUCAGUGGCAAGGUUAACCAUCUAGGGGAGCCGUAGGGAAACCGAGUCUUAACUGGGCGUUCAGUCUCUGGAUAUAGACCCGAAACCAGGUGAUCUAGCCAUGGGCAGGUUGAAGGUUGAGUAACAUCAACUGGAGGACCGAACCGACUAAUGUUGAAAAAUUAGCGGAUGACUUGUGGCUAGGGGUGAAAGGCCAAUCAAACCUGGAGAUAGCUGGUUCUCCCCGAAAGCUAUUUAGGUAGCGCCUCGGACGAAUACUACUGGGGGUAGAGCACUGUUAAGGCUAGGGGGUCAUCCCGACUUACCAACCCUUUGCAAACUCCGAAUACCAGUAAGUACUAUCCGGGAGACACACGGCGGGUGCUAACGUCCGUCGUGGAGAGGGAAACAACCCAGACCGCCAGCUAAGGUCCCAAAUUACUACUAAGUGGGAAACGAUGUGGGAAGGCUCAGACAGCCAGGAUGUUGGCUUAGAAGCAGCCAUCAUUUAAAGAAAGCGUAAUAGCUCACUGGUCGAGUCGGCCUGCGCGGAAGAUGUAACGGGGCUAAGUAGUAAACCGAAGCUGCGGCAAUAUACUUUUGUAUAUUGGGUAGGGGAGCGUUCUGUAAGCGGUUGAAGGUGUGUGGUAACGCAUGCUGGACGUAUCAGAAGUGCGAAUGCUGACAUGAGUAACGAUAAAGGGGGUGAAAAACCUCCUCGCCGGAAGACCAAGGGUUCCUGUCCAACGUUAAUCGGGGCAGGGUAAGUCGACCCCUAAGGCGAGGCCGAAAGGCGUAGUCGAUGGGAAACGGGUUAAUAUUCCCGUACUUCUUACAAUUGCGAUGGGGGGACGGAGAAGGCUAGGUGGGCCUGGCGACGGUUGUCCAGGUUCAAGUGCGUAGGCUGAGAAAUUAGGUAAAUCCGGUUUCUCUUAA
Molecule: ribosomal RNA, 941 nt
Filed under: Vibrio alginolyticus
Lineage: Bacteria; Pseudomonadati; Pseudomonadota; Gammaproteobacteria; Vibrionales; Vibrionaceae
Description: partial 23S ribosomal RNA
Rfam family: Bacterial large subunit ribosomal RNA
Source: RNAcentral